This 255-nucleotide unclassified non-coding RNA is filed under the name Hevea brasiliensis (rubber tree). The record is from RNAcentral. Lineage: Eukaryota; Viridiplantae; Streptophyta; Magnoliopsida; Malpighiales; Euphorbiaceae.
GAUCAGGAUGACAAUGAAUUAGAGAUCCUGGAAAUUAUCCAUCAUUACGUUGAGAUUUUGGACCGUUACUUUGGCAGUGUCUGUGAGUUGGAUUUGAUCUUCAACUUUCACAAGGCCUAUUAUAUAUUGGAUGAGCUUCUAAUUGCUGGCGAACUUCAAGAAUCAAGCAAGAAAACAGUAGCUAGAUUGAUAGCCGCACAGGAUUCGUUGGUGGAGACUGCAAAGGAGCAAGCUAGUUCAAUAAGUAACAUAAUU